CAUUCUUUUGCCCCAAAAGCCCAUUAGUCACCUGGAUCCCUUACUGCUGUAGCUUCCUAACUUGCCUCCUCACCUUUAGUCUCUCCCCACCAGUCUAUUCUACAUAAGUCACAAUAAUAAUUUCCUAAAAGUCUCUCUGUCAUCCCAUCCCUCACCAGCUCAAAAUCUAUUGCCAAUGAGAUUGAACCCAGACUCCUUGGCAUAUGUUCCAAAGCCCACCAAAUCUGGACCUAACUGGACCCUCCAGCUUUCCCGCACUUGGCUCACGCCCCAGCCCUCUGUUCUGGUCUCUGGCCUCCUCCACCAACCACUGCCUUUCCUCCUGUUCUUUCCUAGUGUCAAGUGCCAUUCCUCACCCUCACCUGCACCUGUCAAACCAUACCUGUGGUUCAAGGAUGGUUCCGGCCUCACUUCCUCUAAGAAGCUUUCCCUAACCACCUUUAGGGAAGGCUGUGCUCAUUCAGCCUGUGACUCUAUCUUCCCAAGAAAACGACCAGCUCCUCACAGGCCCUAACUCAUAGGCCUCUGAAUCUGCACAAAGCCUAAACACACUACUCCAGCAAAUUCCUUGAACCAAAGAGGAAGAGCAUCACAGGGACCCCAACUUGAAGAUGGAGGGCAGAAGCUUUGGUGUCCCAGACCUGUGACUCAUGUAGGGGAGUGUGGGGCCCAUCUUGGGGACUGAGCCCUCACCCUGUGGGAUCUGACACUAUCUCAAGGAAAUUCACAGUGCUUUCAAUGAAGGCAGGACAGCUCCCUUAAAAUGAACAGAUAAUGACAUCUUUGACGACUCUCUCCUCAUUGGCUGGUAUCUACCCACAGAGCACCCUUAUUCUAGUGGACCUGAACUGGGACCUGGAGGACACAGAAGGGCCGCCACAGUUCUCAGAGGCCACUCAACAUGCACUCCCUGCGGACAAGGAUCUGGACAGGAGAGAUUUCUAGAAGGAAGGGAUCAUAUCACAACUCUGGAAGAAUCCUCUUAUAAGGGAAGUAAUCAAGAAAGAGCAGGUCAGUUUGGAGACCCACAUCUGACGCUGGUCAUCCCUCAGUGAGCUGGCAGCACUGCCGUGGCCACAUUUUCAGUCCAAGACUACGCAGCACUUGUGAUGAGGAUGUGCACCGAUGUCACAACGCCGCCUUCCCCCUUUCCCAUUCGGUCAGUAUCUUCGUACGGGAGAAAAAUCACUAAAAUUUUUCUUUCCAUAAAAACAGU
Long non-coding RNA from Nycticebus coucang (slow loris), 1216 nucleotides. RefSeq lists it as uncharacterized. Lineage: Eukaryota; Metazoa; Chordata; Mammalia; Primates; Lorisidae. The record is from RefSeq and is a predicted model, not a curated record. The transcript has 3 exons.